AUCUGCCAUCCACCCUCUUUAUCUUCACUUUGCAUUGCUGGCAUCCAGCCAUAAAAAGCGGGAGGGGGAAAUGGGGAAGAAACACAGAGAAGGAGAUGAUAGGACCCAGAGAUGCCAAUCCAAAACAACAGACAAGAGAUCCAAGGGUCUAAGGGGUGAGAAUGGAAGGCAGACAUCUACCGAAGAGGAGCCAAUCAUUGGGGCUGUUACCAAAACUCCUAACUUGAAUAGUAUUGGACAUUGAACAAAAGAAGAGAAUAACAUACUUCAUCCAAGCCUUCAAUUUCCACAAACACACAAAUAGUAAGAUACAAGCAAUAAUCUGAAUUUGAACAAACAAGUCAAGAUGAAUUGAUGUAAAUGAACCUAGUUCGGAGGGCACAAUUGGUGCACAAGAUGGAUCUGUGUGAAGGCCUUUUUAGCUCCAGUUGCUACUUCGCAAGCAGGAGAUGUGGGUCCAAGAAGGCACAUUAAAUUGUGAACCAGUCCUGAAAGUACAACACCUCUCAGAACUAAAGAUGGGGUGUUCCUGGUCCAGAGUACAUACAACAAUUUUAAUGUGAAUAACAAUUAAAGAAAUCAGAAGUGAACCGAACUAUUUUGUCUAAAAAUCCGCUUGAAGAUUUUUUAAUACCCACACAUUCAGAAAGAAAACCUAACUUGAAAAGAUGAUGGUAAUGAUUUUUGUAAUAUCUUCUUCUAGAAGGAUUUAAUAUACAACUUUUAAUAUACAACUCGUUUGAGAAGAGUUAAUCCUAGGCAUUUUAUUAAUAAGACAAAACCAUCUGUCCUUCCAUUUUCUUGUGUAUUAAGGCCUGUCUAUUUUAUGCAUGGGUUCUUGUAAAAUUUAAAUACUCAUGAUAUGAAUCAGAAAAAAGGACAUCAUGUAUCCUUAUCAUCUUAUUUAUGAUUGUUCUGUGUGCCCUUUUUUUUUUUUUUACAAUUCUGUAAAAUUGUAACAUCAUUUGGUACAAAAUGAAACCAUGCAGUGUGAUCUACCAUAGUUAUUUUACAUUUUCCACCUUUCUCCCUGAAAUCAAUAGAACAAAAGCUUUUGUACUGUAGUGACUUGUGUGCAACUGCCACAAAUGUUAAUGAAGAUUACACAAUAAUGUUCUUUCUGUGUAAAGAUAUAAUUAAUGAGCCAGGGAUCAAAAGGCUGAUACAUUAAGUACUAUAAAUCAGAUUAUUCUAUUCCAUUCCAUUCCUUCUUCUGAUGAUUUUUACCCAUAAUAAAAUUUUAUGCCAGUAUUUCUCAAUCUU
Long non-coding RNA from Ahaetulla prasina, 1263 nucleotides. RefSeq lists it as uncharacterized. The record is from RefSeq and is a predicted model, not a curated record. The transcript has 3 exons. Lineage: Eukaryota; Metazoa; Chordata; Lepidosauria; Squamata; Colubridae.